CCUUUACUUGAAGACUUUGAGGAUAUUCCUUAAGGGUGAGGAGAUUUACACCCAGGGUCUAGCAACUGAGGUAGCCAAGUGAUAUUCAGGGGAUCAGCCUGCAUUUUUGCUUCCCAAGAGCUGUUGUGUGUACCAAAUAUUUAUAAAUAAUGCCAGCUAUGGUGAUCCCCCAUCCUGCUGAGGGCCAGCUGCUCCUCCAAGUCUUCAUACAGGAGACUGGGGUUCAGACACCUGAUGUGGUCUGCCUAAGGCCAUUCAUUAGUACGGAGACCCCAGAGACUGGCCGGGUUUGGAAGGUGUGUGGGGAGAAUGGUACUUUCCAGGUUUCCUCAAUAUCUGGAGACCGCAGGAAACCCAAGAGAUGGGAGGCAUUAAGCUUGCAUUAAGAAAGAUGCUUCCUACAGUUGGAACUUUCCUUAAGCAGUGACUUCCCCCUCCAACAAGAUUGCUGGCCAGCGUCUGGCUGGUCAGUGUGAGGGGUGCACAACGAGUAGAAUUAACUGAAGGCUGGACUUUCAGAGCCCCUGAAUCUGAAAGUGACUGGUCUCUGUCAGCUGUGAGCUCUGUGAGACCAGGCACCAGUCUGCUUUGCUCAUCACCUGUCUCCAACACCUGGCAAAAGAAUAGCUGCACCAGGUGUACCUGCUACAUUCAUUAACUGGCAAAGCCUCGAGGCAAUGAGGCCCAGGAGAGACGAUUUUGAGAGAUGAAUGGCUAACCUGCCCCUGCUGACAGCUCAAUCAAGAAACCAACAGACAGUAGUUUCUAUGUUCCAGAAGCCCUUCCCUGGGGUCUUCUCCGAUGUGCACUGUUCGCUGCUACAGAUUGUCCUUGCGGCUCUGAGGCCCCUCCUUGAGUCUCCAGGCCCCAGUGCAAUGUCAGGAAGAAAAGCUGAGCCCCUCUGUCCUGAUGUCCAAUCCUGGCUCCUCUCAUACAUGUCCUGGGUGUCCCCUAUGAUGUCCUUGACCCUGGGGCAGAUGGUCUCUACACAACUAUGCAGUAAACCUCUGAGUGGCUCAUCUCUGUCUCUCUCUCUCUCUUUUUUUAAAAGAGGAUUUAGGCUUUACAGCAUAGCUAAAAAUACCACUGAAGAGCCUGCCUCUGUUUGGAGAGGUUCAGACAGUAAAGAAUCUGCCUGCAAAGCCUAUAGUCCAUGGGAUCACUAAAAGUCAGACAGGACUGAGUGACUAACACUUUCACUCAGUGGCCAAAAGCCAACUGACAAAGUGCUGACAGCCCCAACGACUGCAGUUUUUUUUUGCAUUUCACCAGGGAUUCUGGAGUUGGGGGACACUGGAGAUCUCAAUGUGAAACCAGCCCAUUUUACUGAAGACCUUGAGGGUUACAGGGGAGAUGGGGUGGAACUUGAAUUUUACUCCUCCCAGAAAGUCCUGGUGGCUCCAUCAUGAGCAAGGCUCUGGGCUCUGACACUUCCUGCCCUCUGGUUCCACCUCCAGGGUCUCCUAGGACAUGUAACUGAGUCCAGAGUGGGCUCCAGGGCAGAAUAUUCCUGAGGUCGCAAGGGACAAGAUCCAAGAUCCAAGUCUGACCUGGGCAGAGGCGUGACAACUGCAAGAUACUGCAUGCAGCCCCACAGACCUUACCUACAUGGAAGCUGUGGUGUGUCUGUGGUGUGUACCAGCUCGGAGAGGGCAAAAGUAGAAGCUCUUAGAGGUAGGGAGCUGUAGCCAAUGGCCGAUCCCAUGGCCUCUGAGAUGGAGGCUGCUUCUCUUUAAGAAAUCAGGCCCAGCCAAGGAGUUCGGAAGGCACACCGGUGGUCCUUGCCGAGGCUGAAACCCACUCAGUCAGGCAUGGGUCUAGGUGACGUUCUGAGAGUCAAGGGUGAUGAGCACCGGGACUGCGUCCUGAGACGACCUCCAUCUGUCUUUUUAGGUGUUUCCAUGUUUCUUUAGCGCAGGACUUCUUAAUCACCCGAGUCUUAAGAACCAUUCUGCCCUAAGGUCGUUCCCCAAAACUGACCUGCCAAAGCCCACUUCAGGGAUUCUGAUUCUAGAGUCUGGGGUGACAAUUUUGAAAAUUUCCCUGGGUGAGUCAGGUACGUG
Molecule: long non-coding RNA, 2063 nt
Organism: Bos taurus (domestic cattle)
Lineage: Eukaryota; Metazoa; Chordata; Mammalia; Artiodactyla; Bovidae
Source: Ensembl